GAUGAAGAACGUAGCGAAAUGCGAUAAGUAAUGUGAAUUGCAGAAUUCAGUGAAUCAUCGAAUCUUUGAACGCACAUUGCGCCCGUCAGUAUUCUGGCGGGCAUGCCUGUUCGAGCGUCAUUACGCCCCUCAAGUCCCCUGUGGACUUGGUGUUGGGGAUCGGCGAGGCUGGUUUUCCAGCACAGCCGUCCCUUAAAUUAAUUGGCGGUCUCGCCGUGCCCCUCCUCUGCGCAGUAGUAAAACACUCGCAACAGGAGCCCGGCGCGGUCCACUGCCGUAAAACCCCCCAACUUUUUAUAGUUGACCUCGAAUCAGGUAGGACUACCCGCUGAACUUAAGCAUAUCAAUAAGCGGAGGA
RNAcentral lists this unclassified non-coding RNA (358 nucleotides) under soil metagenome. RNAcentral describes it as "partial contains 5.8S ribosomal RNA, internal transcribed spacer 2, and large subunit ribosomal RNA". The stretch from base 1 to 120 matches the Rfam family "5.8S ribosomal RNA", at positions 35 to 154 of the family's 154-position model. The record is from RNAcentral.